AAUCAGUCUUCUGGGAAAUCUAAUCGCUUAACUAUUAGGCUUCCAGGGGAUACUGUUAGACUUGGGACCGGGAGAGGUAAGAGGUACUGCAGGGGUAGGAGUGAAAUCUUGUAAUCCCUGUGAGACCACCAGUGGCGAAGGCGUCUUACUAGAACGGGUCCGACGGUGAGGGACGAAAGCUGGGGGCACGAACCGGAUUAGAUACCCGGGUAGUCCCAGCUGUAAACGAUGCUCGUUAGGUGUCAGGAACGGUGCGACUGUUUCUGGCGCCGAAGGGAAGCCGUGAAACGAGCCACCUGGGAAGUACGGCCGCAAGGCUGAAACUUAAAGGAAUUGGCGGGGGAGCACUACAACGGGUGGAGCCUGCGGUUUAAUUGGACUCAACGCCGGAAAACUCACCGGGGGCGACAGCAAUAUGUAGGUCAGGUUAAAGGUCUUACCUGAAUCGCUGAGAGGAGGUGCAUGGCCGUCGUCAGUUCGUACUGUGAAGCAUCCUGUUAAGUCAGGCAACGAGCAAGACCCGUGCCCACUGUUACCAGCAUAUCCUUUAUGGAUGAUGGGGACUCUGUGGGGACCGCUGCUGCUAAAGCAGAGGAAGGUGCGGGCUACGGUAGGUCAGUAUGCCCCGAAUCUCCCGGGCUACACGCGGGCUACAAUGGUUGGGACAAUGGGUAUCUACUCCGAAAGGAGUUGGCAAUCUCUUAAACCCAAUCGUAGUUCGAAUUGAGGGCUGUAACUCGCCCUCAUGAAGCUGGAAUCCGUAGUAAUCGCGUUUCAUCAUAGCGCGGU
This 789-nucleotide ribosomal RNA is filed under the name uncultured archaeon. Its description in RNAcentral is "bacterial SSU rRNA". It matches the Rfam family "Archaeal small subunit ribosomal RNA", at positions 532 to 1319 of the family's 1478-position model. The record is from RNAcentral.